UGUGCCAGCAGCCGCGGUAAUACGUAGGUGGCAAGCGUUAUCCGGAAUUAUUGGGCGUAAAGCGCGCGUAGGCGGUUUUUUAAGUCUGAUGUGAAAGCCCACGGCUCAACCGUGGAGGGUCAUUGGAAACUGGAAAACUUGAGUGCAGAAGAGGAAAGUGGAAUUCCAUGUGUAGCGGUGAAAUGCGCAGAGAUAUGGAGGAACACCAGUGGCGAAGGCGACUUUCUGGUCUGUAACUGACGCUGAUGUGCGAAAGCGUGGGGAUCAAACAGGAUUAGAUACCCUGGUAGUCCACGCCGUAAACGAUGAGUGCUAAGUGUUAGGGGGUUUCCGCCCCUUAGUGCUGCAGCUAACGCAUAAGCACUCC
This 367-nucleotide ribosomal RNA is filed under the name uncultured bacterium. RNAcentral describes it as "bacterial SSU rRNA". It matches the Rfam family "Bacterial small subunit ribosomal RNA", at positions 504 to 870 of the family's 1533-position model. The record is from RNAcentral.